UCAGUGUUCGUCUGAGUCAAAUUCAAUCGUUAAAACUUUCAACAACGGAUCUCUUGGUUCUGGCAUCGAUGAAGAACGCAGCGAAAUGCGAUAAGUAAUGUGAAUUGCAGAAUUCAGUGAAUCAUCGAAUCUUUGAACGCACAUUGCGCCCCUUGGUAUUCCGAGGGGCAU
RNAcentral lists this ribosomal RNA (171 nucleotides) under [Coniosporium] sp. SL11032. RNAcentral describes it as "Coniosporium sp. SL11032 5.8S ribosomal RNA". The stretch from base 34 to 171 matches the Rfam family "5.8S ribosomal RNA", at positions 1 to 138 of the family's 154-position model. From Rfam's summary of the family: 5.8S ribosomal RNA (5.8S rRNA) is a component of the large subunit of the eukaryotic ribosome. Lineage: Eukaryota; Fungi; Ascomycota; Eurotiomycetes; Chaetothyriales; Herpotrichiellaceae. The record is from RNAcentral.